Nymphalis io (European peacock) is the source of this 615-nucleotide long non-coding RNA. RefSeq lists it as uncharacterized. The transcript is spliced from 2 exons. The record is from RefSeq and is a predicted model, not a curated record. Lineage: Eukaryota; Metazoa; Arthropoda; Insecta; Lepidoptera; Nymphalidae.
AGUCAUAAAAUAAAAAUUAGUUUUGUAGUACAUGUUUUUACAUUUGUUAAUAUAUUCUAUUAUUUACUCUUGCAACUCUUAAAUAUUUUGAUUCUUUGUUUUAUUGAUACCCUCAGAGGCGGUAUUGUUAAAAUCUAUUUUUUAAAAACCGGUUACGGGAGCAAGACUGUUUUUUUCCUUGUUUAAAACUAAGAUAUUUAGAAAAUGGAAUCUUCGACUACGCCAGUAGUUGCAGCUAAUGCUGGUAAAAUUUAUAAAGUUGCGAAUAGGGUAGGACGAGGUAUACCAGAAAUAACUAAGGUUUAUACGAAGAAGUGCUCCUGUCGAAGAGAAAAAACAAUUGUUUUUUGCCGGGCAUGUGGGUACUACUGCAAUGGACGUAUUCGAUUGAAAUGUGAAACACAUCCCAGGGUUACAUUUUUAUUGGAUAUUGCUGAAUGCCCUCGAUGCCACUCAUCAGUGUUUCUGGAUGAAUACUUUGGUGACCUGUAAUUUGUUAUGACUGAAAUUUCAACACUCCAUUUUCUUUUGCUAAUUACUUAUUAUUAAACUGAGAUAUUGUUAAGUUUGUAAUAUCUGAAUAUGAUUUGAAUGACUAAAGUUUUUAAAAACGUU